This 479-nucleotide ribosomal RNA is filed under the name uncultured bacterium. RNAcentral's name for it is "partial 16S ribosomal RNA". It matches the Rfam family "Bacterial small subunit ribosomal RNA", at positions 28 to 507 of the family's 1533-position model. The record is from RNAcentral.
GAUGAACGCUAGCGGGAGGCCUAACACAUGCAAGCCGAGCGGUAUUGUUUCUUCGGCAAUGAGAGAGCGGCGUACGGGUGCGUAACACGUGUGCAACCUGCCUUUAUCUGGGGGAUAGCCUUUCGAAAGGAAGAUUAAUACUCCAUAAUAUAUUGAACGGCAUCGUUUAAUAUUGAAAGCUCCGGCGGAUAGAGAUGGGCACGCGCAAGAUUAGCUAGUUGGUGAGGUAACGGCUCACCAAGGCGAUGAUCUUUAGGGGGCCUGAGAGGGUGAUCCCCCACACUGGUACUGAGACACAGACCAGACUCCUACGAGAGGCAGCAGUGAGGAAUAUUGGUCAAUGGGUGCAAGCCUGAACCAGCCAUCCCGCGUGAAGGACGACUGCCCUAUGGGUUGUAAACUUCUUUUGUAUAGGGAUAAACCUACCCUCGUGAGGGUAGCUGAAGGUACUAUACGAAUAAGCACCGGCUAACUCCGUG